Molecule: ribosomal RNA, 785 nt
Filed under: Staphylococcus aureus
Lineage: Bacteria; Bacillati; Bacillota; Bacilli; Caryophanales; Staphylococcaceae
Description: partial 23S ribosomal RNA
Rfam family: Bacterial large subunit ribosomal RNA
Source: RNAcentral
CUUAGUACCCGGAGGAAGAGAAAGAAAAUUCGAUUCCCUUAGUAGCGGCGAGCGAAACGGGAAGAGCCCAAACCAACAAGCUUGCUUGUUGGGGUUGUAGGACACUCUAUACGGAGUUACAAAGGACGACAUUAGACGAAUCAUCUGGAAAGAUGAAUCAAAGAAGGUAAUAAUCCUGUAGUCGAAAAUGUUGUCUCUCUUGAGUGGAUCCUGAGUACGACGGAGCACGUGAAAUUCCGUCGGAAUCUGGGAGGACCAUCUCCUAAGGCUAAAUACUCUCUAGUGACCGAUAGUGAACCAGUACCGUGAGGGAAAGGUGAAAAGCACCCCGGAAGGGGAGUGAAAUAGAACCUGAAACCGUGUGCUUACAAGUAGUCAGAGCCCGUUAAUGGGUGAUGGCGUGCCUUUUGUAGAAUGAACCGGCGAGUUACGAUUUGAUGCAAGGUUAAGCAGUAAAUGUGGAGCCGUAGCGAAAGCGAGUCUGAAUAGGGCGUUUAGUAUUUGGUCGUAGACCCGAAACCAGGUGAUCUACCCUUGGUCAGGUUGAAGUUCAGGUAACACUGAAUGGAGGACCGAACCGACUUACGUUGAAAAGUGAGCGGAUGAACUGAGGGUAGCGGAGAAAUUCCAAUCGAACCUGGAGAUAGCUGGUUCUCUCCGAAAUAGCUUUAGGGCUAGCCUCAAGUGAUGAUUAUUGGAGGUAGAGCACUGUUUGGACGAGGGGCCCCUCUCGGGUUACCGAAUUCAGACAAACUCCGAAUGCCAAUUAAUUUAACUUGGGAGUC